Molecule: long non-coding RNA, 870 nt
Organism: Osmia bicornis bicornis
Lineage: Eukaryota; Metazoa; Arthropoda; Insecta; Hymenoptera; Megachilidae
Exons: 3
Source: RefSeq, a predicted model, not a curated record
ACGAAAAUCGUACGAUCGUGAUUGUAUAUAUAUGGGACAGUAGUUUGUACUACGUUUCUGAUCGAUAUCGGCCACUGCAAAGUGGUCGUAGAACAUCGACAACGUGAUGGCAAACAAAGUGGCAGUGAAAGGUUGGAAAGAUGAGAAAUUAACCUUUUGUUUCGACGAAAGUCGAGGUAUCAUUGUAUACGUUUCAUAGGUUUUCGUUCUGUUAUUUGAGAAUUAAUCGGUGGCGCACGAAAUAGUCUGUGAAAUUAGGAUUUCCGGAAGGAAAUGAUGCUUCUUUGCUUUUGACAGUUCGAGACCCCUCUAUAGGCAGUUACGAUUUCCGGAUUCUAUUUUCGACGGAAAUCUGAUCAGGAUACACGUAACACAAACAAAGUUAGCUGCAUUCAUACGGCUGGAUAUAAUAUGACUAUCCUAUUUUAUUUUUGCGGUGACAACGACAUACUUACAUGAUUUUUCCUUGAUGAGAUUAAACUGGAAACAGUUAAUCUGUAACAAAUGUAUUUCAAGCAGAACGAAAGUUCGUCAACCUCUUUCAUCCAAUUUUACCAGAUCGUAAAUUAAAUAAUAUAUUCCAUAAAUGAGAAUAUCAUCGAAAUUAUUAAAUAUAUUUAUUACUUUAUUAUAGUAAAAAGAAAACAACAACAGCCUUGGUUAACUUCGGAACAAAUGACCUUCGUUUGUUUCUUACGUCAUGUUUGUCCUUCGAAAUCACUUAUCUGUUACUAAUUCUUAACCUCAACUAGAAUACAGUGUUGCAUAAGUGGAUAAAGUUUGAUUUAUCAAACAAGAAGGCAUUUUUUAUUUCAACUUUUUUUUCAAUUUUGUUUAAGUUGAUUUUAUUUUUAAUUCUCUGAAAUGAAU